CUUUCCCAGCGGCCGGGGGCAGGAUCACUUAUAUUUGCAGCUCUGUCACUGUCGGCGCCCACAAAAUCUCACUUGUCACUAUGGGUCACAGCAGAGAUAUGGGCAUUUUCUACCGUCUGUGGUUAGCUCCCCUAGCUAUGCUACUUUUGUCCCAGGGUCUUCCAGCCUUGUGGUUGCCAGAUGGGUGCUCUCUACUAGUGCUGUGCAGAGGCUAUCGCUGAGGCUUCUGUGAGACUAUAGAGUUUCCCCCCUGGGCCACAGAGCCAGGUUGCUGGAACUCCACCCAGCCCCAGUCCUCUCCCCUAGGAUCUCGGGGAGCCCAUUACCCUGACUGGGGGAUAGCCAGAUACCUUGAGUUCAGUGGCAGCUGAUCAGCUGCUGCCCUGCCUGGGAUUCUCCUCUUUGGGACCCUCCCGGCAUUGUGGAUGCUGGGCGGGGCCUCUCUGCUAAUGGCAGGCAAAGACCCUGCCUACUGCCCAGACGGGACUUCAGAGUUUCUCCCCCAGGCUGCGUAGCUGGCCGCUGGAGCUCCACCAAGCCCCGGUCCUCUCCCGGGAGAUCUCCAGUAGUCCUGAGCCUCUCCCAGGCGAAAGCCCGGUCAGUGGAGCCGGUCGCGGCAGCUGGCGGGCUGGCCCGCCGUUUGGGAGAGCCUCCAGGUGUUGUGGAGGCUGGGCGGGGCCUCUCCAAUAAUGGCAGGCAAAGACCCUGUCUGCUGCCGGGGAUGGGACUUCAGAGUUUCUCCCCCAGGUCGCGUUGCCAGCUGCUGAAGCUCCACCCAGCCCCGGGACCUCUCCCAGAUCUUCAGUAGUCCUGAUCCCCUCCCGGGCGAGAGCCCGGUCAGGGGAGCCAGCGGCGGCAGCUGGUGGGCCGGCGCGCCGCUUGAGAUUCUCUCCGGGGGCCCCCAGGUGUUGUGGGUGCUGGGCGGGGCCUCUCCGAUAAUGGCAGGGAAAGACUCUGCCUGCGGCCAGGACUGAACUCUAGAGUUUCUCCCCCGGGCCGUGUAGCCAAUCGCUGGAGCUCCACUCAGCCCCAGACCUCUCCCAGGAGAUCUCCGGUAGUCUCGAUCCCCUCCUGGACGAAAACCAGGUCAGGGGAGCCGGCGGCGGCAGCUGGUGGGCCAGCGCGCCGCUUGGGAUUCUCUCCGGGGGGCCCCCAGGCUUUGUGGAUGCUGGACGGGACCUCUCUGCUAAUGGCAGGCUAAAACACUGAUGAAUCAUUGAACUAAUGAGGCCAGUGUUCUAUAGGAUGGAAGACAAAGAAGAUGGAAGGAACCUGGUUCUCUGGUUCCACAUGGAGAGGAGCCACACUGCCAAUCCAGACACCCACCUCAGUGCUGUCACCAGAGACAGAAACAAACUUUUAAACUUUAAAUAUUUAAACUUUAAAUAGAGUAAACAUAGUCCUGAUUUUCUUAGAACGGUCCUGUCUUAUGCCUGUUGUCUUGGCAUAAUUAUAAAUGGCAUUCUCUUUCACUAUCAAAAUAAAUUGCAUGAUAAACCUCUUUUAAUUCGAUGUACCAUGCCACCUCUUCAUAUUAGCAGCUUAGAUUCUCUACAACCAAUAUAGAAAUUGGUGCCUAACAUAUGUGUGAUUAGCAGUCCUGUGGUGGGAGGUGAGGGCAGGUCUAGAUCAGCUUAGAAGACUAGAGACCCUUGUUAUACACUGGUAAGAGUUGAUAAAAUUGUCCCCUGUGGUAACUUGAAAGGCAGACCACGUGUACCUACCAAACCUGCAGCCGUAGUGCCAGAAUGUUAAUCGGUGUUGGUAGUCCUUGCUGCAUUUAGCAAGGUAUUACAAGGAAGAAGUAACCACAGGCAAGAAUUGGCAAGUUGAAAAGCAGAGAUAGAACAGAUGAGGUUGGAAAUACCUUCUGCUUCUAUAUACCAAACAACAGUGGAUUCAUAACUGUCAUUUUUCAGAGCCUUUCUCAAAGACCUACCAUUAAGCAAAAAGAUCAAUUAAGAGUUUUACCUUGACACAUAAACUCAUGUUUCAGAUGUCCUCAAAAUAGGUGGCUUUAAAAUAAGGAAGAGAGGGAUGGAGUCUGGAAGCCAGCAAAGAAGGUGGGCCUAAGAGCUAUGUGCAGAAAAGGGUUUGGCGUAUGGUGACUGGAACCAGGGACUAACUGGAAGGAAUAAAACUGCUAAGAAGUCUACUAAAUUUUUGAAGUCACAAACGUGGCUUACAAAUGCCUGUGACUACUUGAGCCCCAUGAGGCAUAUACUCCACAUCCACUUCAGAUAUUAGCAUGGACCCAGUGAACAAAGAAGACCCUCCCAGAUGGCACAGCCAGGGGCCCAGGAAGGUGAUGAUCAAGAGAGUAGCUCUGAGAGAAGCAGAACCACUGGUGGGAGGAUGGACCAGCCAAGCACGCGUUCGAUUGUCAAGACAGAGACUCAACACGAUUCCCGCACAGUUAAGGACAGCGAAUUUGCAUUUUGUUCUUCCCUUUUCCCAACUGAAGCCUUAUUGCAGGUAUGCUCUGGCUGCUCCACCAUUGUGUGGGUGUAUGAGUAGAAAGGGGUGCAGCACAGAUAGUUUAUAGGUCACUGGACAAUGAGCAGCUACCUCUGGACUAGAUUAAAAAGAUUGCCCAUUACAUCAAGAACUAGACUUUGAGCUGGGUCCAGUACAGAUGGGACUUUGAGGGGUCCCCCUGGAGAACGGGUGCCUAUGUCCUAUGAAUGGGGAAAGGAGGACACACAAAUAUUUGAGUGACGGUUGGAGGGGUUUGAAGGGGACAUAGCAAGUUAUACAUGAAGAAUUUAUUCUACAUUUUUCCUUAAAAAUUAUGCCCUAUCUUGGGUCAUGACUGUCCUUCUGUAGAUGACAUUUCUGAGCCUCCCUUGCAGAUAGUGGUGGCCUUGUGACUCAGUUCCCACUGGAAUCUGAGUGGGAGUGAUGUCUGUCACUCUGGAUCGGAGGCUUAAAAUAUCGAGCACGUGCUUCUCUCCUCUCUCCCGUGACCCACACUGGUACACAGUGACCCAGCUCCGGUCACGUGCAAGAGGAUGCCCUAGACAAGAGGGAAGAAACCUUGUUCCUUGCUAGUCUGCAUUGUUCACCUAAGCAUUGUCAUAUGAGACAGAAAUAAACUUAAAGGCUUUUGCAA
This is a long non-coding RNA of Equus caballus (horse), 3112 nucleotides long. RefSeq lists it as uncharacterized. NCBI's taxonomy places the organism in Eukaryota, Metazoa, Chordata, Mammalia, Perissodactyla, Equidae. The record is from RefSeq and is a predicted model, not a curated record.